Molecule: ribosomal RNA, 495 nt
Filed under: uncultured bacterium
Lineage: Bacteria
Description: partial 16S ribosomal RNA
Rfam family: Bacterial small subunit ribosomal RNA
Source: RNAcentral
GAUGAACGCUGGCGGCGUGCCUAAUACAUGCAAGUCGAGCGAACGGACGAGGAGCUUGCUUCUCUGAUGUUAGCGGCGGACGGGUGAGUAACACGUGGAUAACCUACCUAUAAGACUGGGAUAACUUCGGGAAACCGGAGCUAAUACCGGAUAAUAUUUUGAACCGCAUGGUUCAAAGGUGAAAGACGGUCUUGCUGUCACUUAUAGAUGGAUCCGCGCUGCAUUAGCUAGUUGGUAAGGUAACGGCUUACCAAGGCAACGAUGCAUAGCCGACCUGAGAGGGUGAUCGGCCACACUGGAACUGAGACACGGUCCAGACUCCUACGGGAGGCAGCAGUAGGGAAUCUUCCGCAAUGGGCGAAAGCCUGACGGAGCAACGCCGCGUGAGUGAUGAAGGUCUUCGGAUCGUAAAACUCUGUUAUUAGGGAAGAACAUAUGUGUAAGUAACUGUGCACAUCUUGACGGUACCUAAUCAGAAAGCCACGGCUAACUACG